RNAcentral lists this ribosomal RNA (119 nucleotides) under Gossypium hirsutum (cotton). The record is from RNAcentral. Lineage: Eukaryota; Viridiplantae; Streptophyta; Magnoliopsida; Malvales; Malvaceae.
GGGUGCGAUCAUGCCAGCACUAAUGCACCAUAUCCCAUCAGAACUCUGCAGCUAAGCGUGCUUGGCCGAGAGUAGUACUAGGAUGGGUGACCUCCUGGGAAGUCCUCGUGUUGCACCCC